CUGAAAAUAAUCUUUGACUAAGAAACCACUUUGCUUAGGAGAUGAAUAGAUAAAUGUGCAAUGGCUGCGAACAGCAGCCUCCUUGGUAGUGUAUGCAGCCUGUUGGUUGUACGGGUUGCCCUAAGGGACCUUGGAGACAGUU
Small nucleolar RNA from Panthera leo (lion), 142 nucleotides. Its record names the gene SNORA70. It matches the Rfam family "Small nucleolar RNA SNORA70". Rfam says of the family: snoRNA U70 seems to be exclusive to mammals and is a member of the H/ACA class of snoRNA which contain H (ANANNA) and ACA box motifs. The record is from Ensembl. NCBI's taxonomy places the organism in Eukaryota, Metazoa, Chordata, Mammalia, Carnivora, Felidae.